CGGGUUGUAAAGUACUUUCAGCAGUGAGGAAGGUGGGUAUGUUAAUAGCAUACUCAUUUGACGUUAGCUGCAGAAGAAGCACCGGCUAACUCCGUGCCAGCAGCCGCGGUAAUACGGAGGGUGCGAGCGUUAAUCGGAAUUACUGGGCGUAAAAGCGCAUGCAGGUGGUUUGUUAAGUCAGAUGUGAAAGCCCGGGGCUCAACCUCGGAAUUGCAUUUGAAACUGGCAAACUAGAGUACUGUAGAGGGGGUAGGAAUUUCAGGUGUAGCGGUGAAAUGCGUAGAGAUCUGAAGGAAUACCGGUGGCGAAGGCGGCCCCCUGGACAGAUACUGACACUCAGAUGCGAAAGCGUGGGGAGCAAACAGGAUUAGAUACCCUGGUAG
RNAcentral lists this ribosomal RNA (383 nucleotides) under uncultured bacterium. Its description in RNAcentral is "bacterial SSU rRNA". It matches the Rfam family "Bacterial small subunit ribosomal RNA", at positions 419 to 793 of the family's 1533-position model. The record is from RNAcentral.